Molecule: microRNA precursor, 90 nt
Filed under: Ophiophagus hannah (king cobra)
Lineage: Eukaryota; Metazoa; Chordata; Lepidosauria; Squamata; Elapidae
Description: microRNA oha-mir-33 precursor (oha-mir-33-2)
Gene: oha-mir-33-2
Rfam family: mir-33 microRNA precursor family (bases 14-81)
Source: miRBase by way of RNAcentral
ACUAUGGCUGUGUCGGUGGUGCAUUGUAGUUGCAUUGCAUGUGCAAGUGAAGAUGUGCAAUGCCCCUUCAGUGCAGCCCUGGGGCAGCAC